Molecule: transfer RNA, 71 nt
Filed under: Loxodonta africana (African savanna elephant)
Lineage: Eukaryota; Metazoa; Chordata; Mammalia; Proboscidea; Elephantidae
Rfam family: tRNA
About the family: Transfer RNA (tRNA) molecules are approximately 80 nucleotides in length.
Source: Rfam by way of RNAcentral
GCAUUAGUGGUUCAGUGGUAGAAUUUUCACCUUCCAUGUACAAGACCCAGGUUCAAUUCCUGGCCAGUGCA